GCGGGCGGGCGCCCCCCGGCGCUGCCCCGGAUCCUGUCAGGGGCGGCGCGGGCGGGCGCGUCUCUCGUCCCCCGUCUCCCCCCCGCCGGCCUCGCUCCCCGAGGCGGCGCAGGGGGGUUUAAGCCCCUCGUCCUCCCCCCUCGGCAGCCCCUCCGCGCACCUCAGGCCGCCGCUGCUUUGCCAGCCGCCCCGAGGAGGGAGGAGAGCCCCCGACAAACUUGCUUCGCGGCCUCCUCGGGGCCCGCCGGCCUCUCUUCAGUCCCUCAGGGGCUCGAGUGAGCACAGUUGUUCUCUUGUUUCAGGACGGCGAUAUCCUCUUUCAAGGAAAUACUUAAAUUUUAAGUUAUAUAGGAGCGCACUGUUCACGCGCUUGUCGGUGGUUGAGUGCGUUCACCCUCACGAGUACCACAGCGAAGCCCGGCAAUAGUCACCCCCUUUUCCCAGGGAAGCGCUCUGGGGAAGGAAAAGGCACAAAGGACAAGAUUUAAAAUCACGGGCUAGUUAACUUUGAUAGCCUAAAUCCGAAAUGGUCAUUUUAAAAAAAAUCACUGUUAAUUUUUUAAAAUGACUUGUUAACCGGCCGCUUGGCUUGGAGGGCGGCUGAGCUCGGUCCUCCCCCCGCUGCCGGCCCCGAGCGGCRCCGGCGCAAGCAGGACGGGCGACGGAGACGGAGCCUCAGUGACCUCCUCGGACUCACACUUGGACGUGUCGGUCUUUUAGGACAGCGCUGUAGGCUUGACCGGCUUGCAAACGCGCUCGACGCCUUCAGUCGAAGCUGGACCACCGUGCAGCGACGGAGGAGAGAAAGGAGGAAGGAAGAACGAUUUCAGUUGUUUCGUAAUUACUGGUCUCGGAGCACUGUUGAUGCUCUUGCCGGAAAAGCCUUCAUCCAAAGAUGUCGAAGUGUUCCAGCCUCAGAACAAACUUGUGAAGAAGAUAUUGUUAUCCCCAUCUUUUACACUGCAAAGCUGAGGCAGUAUUUGAGUUGCCAAAUUCACAGAUUAGUCACUGGGUGAACAGGCCUAAAAACAAAUAGUUCAUGUCUCCAGGGCUCUAUCCUAAGUGUACAAGAAAAUACCUACUUUCUAUCAUGUGUAAUAUAACCUAUAGUUUUUAUUUACAGGUUUCAUAGAUAUUCUUUUUUAGAUAGCUUUUCAAAUAUCUUUGCCUCAAUAAAUAAUGACAAUUCCUGAGUAUUUAUAACUUU
This 1207-nucleotide long non-coding RNA is filed under the name Apteryx haastii (Great spotted kiwi). RNAcentral's name for it is "lncRNA (ENSAHAG00000013432.1)". The record is from RNAcentral. Lineage: Eukaryota; Metazoa; Chordata; Aves; Apterygiformes; Apterygidae.